RNAcentral lists this transfer RNA (76 nucleotides) under Clostridia bacterium. RNAcentral describes it as "tRNA-His". It matches the Rfam family "tRNA". From Rfam's summary of the family: Transfer RNA (tRNA) molecules are approximately 80 nucleotides in length. Their secondary structure includes four short double-helical elements and three loops (D, anti-codon, and T loops). Lineage: Bacteria; Bacillati; Bacillota; Clostridia. The record is from RNAcentral.
GUGGCCAUAGCUCAAUAGGCAGAGCACCUGGUUGUGGCCCAGGAGGUUACGGGUUCAAGUCCCGUUGGCCACCCCA